This 441-nucleotide ribosomal RNA is filed under the name uncultured bacterium. RNAcentral's name for it is "partial 16S ribosomal RNA". It matches the Rfam family "Bacterial small subunit ribosomal RNA", at positions 338 to 795 of the family's 1533-position model. The record is from RNAcentral.
CCUACGGGAGGCAGCAGUGGGGAAUAUUGCACAAUGGGGGGAACCCUGAUGCAGCGACGCCGCGUGAGUGAAGAAGUAUUUCGGUAUGUAAAGCUCUGUCAGCAGGGAAGAAGAAAGACGGUACCUGACCAAGAAGCCCCGGCUAACUACGUGCCAGCAGCCGCGGUAAUACGUAGGGGGCAAGCGUUAUCCGGAUUUACUGGGUGUAAAGGGAGCGUAGACGGCAGGGCAAGUCUGGAGUGAAAGGCCGGGGCCCAACCCCUGGACUGCUCUGGAAACUGUCCGGCUGGAGUGCAGGAGAGGUAAGUGGAAUUCCUAGUGUAGCGGUGAAAUGCGUAGAUAUUAGGAGGAACACCAGUGGCGAAGGCGGCUUACUGGACUGUAACUGACGUUGAGGCUCGAAAGCGUGGGGAGCAAACAGGAUUAGAUACCCUUGUAGUC